This is a microRNA precursor of Caenorhabditis briggsae, 59 nucleotides long. It matches the Rfam family "mir-255 microRNA precursor family". The record is from Rfam. Lineage: Eukaryota; Metazoa; Nematoda; Chromadorea; Rhabditida; Rhabditidae.
GUAAGAAAUCUUUGUAGUUUUCCGCGAGUCAACGUGAAAACUGAAGAGAUUUUUUACAG